This 279-nucleotide ribosomal RNA is filed under the name uncultured bacterium. Its description in RNAcentral is "partial 16S ribosomal RNA". It matches the Rfam family "Bacterial small subunit ribosomal RNA", at positions 506 to 784 of the family's 1533-position model. The record is from RNAcentral.
UGCCAGCAGCCGCGGUAAUACGGAGGGUGCGAGCGUUAAUCGGAAUUACUGGGCGUAAAGCGUGCGUAGGCGGUUUGAUAAGCCAGAUGUGAAAUCCCGGGGCUUAACCUCGGAACUGCAUUUGGAACUGUUUAACUAGAGUACUGUAGAGGGUGGUGGAAUUUCCAGUGUAGCGGUGAAAUGCGUAGAGAUUGGAAGGAACAUCAGUGGCGAAGGCGGCCACCUGGACAGAUACUGACGCUGAGGCACGAAAGCGUGGGGAGCGAACAGGAUUAGAUA